UCGGCACACGGGGAUGGAGUCCCCCGCUUGUAACCGCCGAAGAGGCUGAUGACUCCUGCUGCGCG
Molecule: non-coding RNA, 65 nt
Filed under: Rhodospirillales bacterium
Lineage: Bacteria; Pseudomonadati; Pseudomonadota; Alphaproteobacteria; Rhodospirillales
Description: Fluoride sequence
Rfam family: Fluoride riboswitch aptamer (crcB RNA motif)
Source: RNAcentral